Molecule: transfer RNA, 74 nt
Filed under: Lactobacillus phage 521B
Lineage: Duplodnaviria; Heunggongvirae; Uroviricota; Caudoviricetes; Herelleviridae
Rfam family: tRNA
About the family: Transfer RNA (tRNA) molecules are approximately 80 nucleotides in length.
Source: Rfam by way of RNAcentral
ACUCCCGUAGCUCAGAUGGUUAGAGCGCUCAACUUAUAAUUGAGAGGGCGUAUGUUCAAGUCAUACCGGGAGUA